UGGGGAAUAUUGGACAAUGGGGGGAACCCUGAUCCAGCCAUGCCGCGUGUGUGAAGAAGGCCUUAUGGUUGUAAAGCACUUUAAGCGAGGAGGAGGCUACUCUAGUUAAUACCUAGGGAUAGUGGACGUUACUCGCAGGAUAAGCACCGGCUAACUCUGUG
Molecule: ribosomal RNA, 161 nt
Filed under: uncultured Acinetobacter sp.
Lineage: Bacteria; Pseudomonadati; Pseudomonadota; Gammaproteobacteria; Moraxellales; Moraxellaceae
Description: partial 16S ribosomal RNA
Rfam family: Bacterial small subunit ribosomal RNA
Source: RNAcentral